CGGUUCUAGCGGCGGACGGGUGCGUAACGCGUGGGAAUGUGCCCUUCUCUACGGAAUAGCCCUGGGAAACUGGGAGUAAUACCGUAUACGCCCUAUUGGGGAAAGAUUUAUCGGAGAAGGAUCAGCCCGCGUUGGAUUAGGUAGUUGGUGGGGUAAUGGCCUACCAAGCCGACGAUCCAUAGCUGGUUUGAGAGGAUGAUCAGCCACACUGGGACUGAGACACGGCCCAGACUCCUACGGGAGGCAGCAGUGGGGAAUCUUAGACAAUGGGGGCAACCCUGAUCUAGCCAUGCCGCGUGAGUGAUGAAGGCCUUAGGGUUGUAAAGCUCUUUCAGCUGGGAAGAUAAUGACGGUACCAGCAGAAGAAGCCCCGGCUAACUCCGUGCCAGCAGCCGCGGUAAUACGGAGGGGGCUAGCGUUGUUCGGAAUUACUGGGCGUAAAGCGCACGUAGGCGGACCGGAAAGUCAGAGGUGAAAUCCCAGGGCUCAACCUUGGAACUGCCUUUGAAACUAUCGGUCUGGAGUUCGAGAGAGGUGAGUGGAAUUCCGAGUGUAGAGGUGAAAUUCGUAGAUAUUCGGAGGAACACCAGUGGCGAAGGCGGCUCACUGGCUCGAUACUGACG
Molecule: ribosomal RNA, 623 nt
Filed under: Paracoccus sp. B64
Lineage: Bacteria; Pseudomonadati; Pseudomonadota; Alphaproteobacteria; Rhodobacterales; Paracoccaceae
Description: bacterial SSU rRNA
Rfam family: Bacterial small subunit ribosomal RNA
Source: RNAcentral